GUCAAUCAGAAGAAUCGUAAAAAGUGAGCUCGGACUGAAGCCAUACGGUGCUCGAAAGGCAGCAAUCCUGUCGGAAAAGAACAAGCUGGCACGCAUCCAGAAGUGCAAAUCUAUACUUGCUGGCACGCGCCAAAAUGAACACCUGAAGAU
Non-coding RNA from Caenorhabditis elegans, 150 nucleotides. The record is from Ensembl. Lineage: Eukaryota; Metazoa; Nematoda; Chromadorea; Rhabditida; Rhabditidae.